GCUUGUUUUUAUAUAGGCAACACUGCAUCUACGCCGGGCUUCACUACUCCCGUAAGCGCCUUGGCCGUUCCACAAACUCCAUCCUACUUCUCCAAUUUUGUUAAUUGCAUACUCCACUUGAUCAAAGAAUUAAUAGGGUCUCAAUACUGCAAUUUCCCUCCUCAAAAAUAAAAGUAAAAACAAAAUAAAUAAAACAAAAAAGAAGCUAAAAACCUCUAAUAAACAUAUUCUCAAAUCUUUUUUCCUAUACUAUUAAGCAAGUAAUUCAAUUUAUAGAGAAAAGUUAGCAAACUAUAAGCC
Molecule: long non-coding RNA, 300 nt
Filed under: Salvia miltiorrhiza (redroot sage)
Lineage: Eukaryota; Viridiplantae; Streptophyta; Magnoliopsida; Lamiales; Lamiaceae
Description: long non-coding RNA (SMIL_LNC012597)
Source: RNAcentral